GUAGUCAUAUGCUUGUCUCAAAGAUUAAGCCAUGCAUGUCUAAGUAUAAGCAAUUAUACCGUGAAACUGCGAAUGGCUCAUUAAAUCAGUUAUCGUUUAUUUGAUAGUACCUUACUACUUGGAUAACCGUGGUAAUUCUAAAGCUAAUACAUGCUAAAAACCCCAACUUCGGGAGGGGUGUAUUUAUUAGAUAAAAAACCAAUGCCCUUCGGGGCUCUUUGGUGAUUCAUGAUAACUUAACGGAUCGCAUGGCCUUGCGCCGGCGACGGUUCAUUCAAAUUUCUGCCCUAUCAACUUUCGAUGGUAAGGUAUUGGCUUACCAUGGUUUCAACGGGUAACGGGGAAU
RNAcentral lists this ribosomal RNA (346 nucleotides) under uncultured fungus. Its description in RNAcentral is "SSU rRNA". It matches the Rfam family "Eukaryotic small subunit ribosomal RNA", at positions 20 to 370 of the family's 1831-position model. The record is from RNAcentral. Lineage: Eukaryota; Fungi.